UAAUACGAAGGUCCCUAGCGUUGCUCGGAAUCAUUGGGCGUAAAGCGCACGUAGGUGGUUCUAUAAGUCAGAUGUGAAAGCCUCGGGCUCAACCCGAGAAGUGCAUUUGAUACUGCAGAACUUGAGUACGGAAGAGGUGAGUGGAAUUCCUGGUGUAGUGGUGAAAUACGUAGAUAUCAGGAGGAACAUCGGUGGCGAAGGCGGCUCACUGGUCCAGUACUGACACUGAGGUGCGAAAGUGUGGGGAUCAAACAGG
This 256-nucleotide ribosomal RNA is filed under the name uncultured bacterium. RNAcentral describes it as "partial 16S ribosomal RNA". It matches the Rfam family "Bacterial small subunit ribosomal RNA", at positions 521 to 776 of the family's 1533-position model. The record is from RNAcentral.